Molecule: ribosomal RNA, 379 nt
Filed under: uncultured eukaryote
Lineage: Eukaryota
Description: partial 18S ribosomal RNA
Rfam family: Eukaryotic small subunit ribosomal RNA
Source: RNAcentral
CAAUAGCGUAUAUUAAAGUUGUUGCGGUUAAAAAGCUCGUAGUUGGAUUUCUGCUGAGAACGACCGGUCCGCCCUCUGGGUGUGUAUCUGGCUCUUUCUUGGCAUCUUCUUGGUGAACGUUGCUGCACUUGACUGUGUGGAGCGCUACCCAGGACUUUUACUUUGAGGAAAUUAGAGUGUUUCAAGCAGGCAUACGCCUUGAAUACAUUAGCAUGGAAUAAUAAGAUAGGACCUCGGUUCUAUUUUGUUGGUUUCUAGAGCUGAGGUAAUGAUUAAUAGGGAUAGUUGGGGGCAUUCGUAUUUAACUGUCAGAGGCGAAAUUCUUGGAUUUGUUAAAGACGGACUACUGCGAAAGCAUUUGCCAAGGAUGUUUUCAUUG